UUGAGAGUUUUAACUGAGCAUUAUUGGCCAAGCAAGGUUGGUGAAUUGUCACCAAUCCUUUUUCUUUCAGGGCUCAUCUAUUUAAGGCAAAGUAUUUUCCUCGAUCAAGCUUCUUUGAUGCUCAGCUAGGAGCCAUGCCAAGUUUCACUUGGUGAUGGUCGGGAUGUUCAGGUUGGGCUUGAUAAAUGGAUCCCUCAACUAAUAUCUUUCCAAGUUAUAAUGCCACAAAGAAUUUUGCUCAUUGAUCCUACUGUGUCAUCCUUGAUAAAUGCUGAAGCUAGAAUGUGGGAUUGGGAUUUAAUUUCUAGUAUUUUCUUACCUGUUGAUGUGUAUAGGAUUCGGGCUAUUCCUUUAAGUACUGUACCGAGGCCUGAUGCUUUGGUAUGGCAUUAUCAUUCCACUACUAAUUACAUCUUUAAGAGUGGCUAUAUGAUAGCGCACCAGCUGAUUCAUUCAGCAAUGGAAGGU
RNAcentral lists this unclassified non-coding RNA (468 nucleotides) under Hevea brasiliensis (rubber tree). Lineage: Eukaryota; Viridiplantae; Streptophyta; Magnoliopsida; Malpighiales; Euphorbiaceae. The record is from RNAcentral.